AAACCAUGCAUCGAGCAUUUCCACACUAAAUCUUUAAAUCACUCCCAAGCUUCAUACAAGUUCUCAUCCUCCAAUUGCUUGAAAGAUGUGACGUUAUUCCUCAAUCU
This is a small nucleolar RNA of Hibiscus syriacus, 107 nucleotides long. The record is from RefSeq and is a predicted model, not a curated record. NCBI's taxonomy places the organism in Eukaryota, Viridiplantae, Streptophyta, Magnoliopsida, Malvales, Malvaceae.